This 497-nucleotide ribosomal RNA is filed under the name uncultured bacterium. RNAcentral's name for it is "partial 16S ribosomal RNA". It matches the Rfam family "Bacterial small subunit ribosomal RNA", at positions 28 to 507 of the family's 1533-position model. The record is from RNAcentral.
GAUGAACGCUGGCGGCGUGCCUAAUACAUGCAAGUCGAGCGAACGGACGAGAAGCUUGCUUUUCUGAUGUUAGCGGCGGACGGGUGAGUAACACGUGGAUAACCUACCUAUAAGACUGGGAUAAUUUCGGGAAACCGGAGCUAAUACCGGAUAAUAUUUUGAACCGCAUGGUUCAAAAGUGAAAGACGGUCUUGCUGUCACUUAUAGAUGGAUCCGCGCUGCAUUAGUUAGUUGGUAAGGUAACGGCUUACCAAGGCAACGAUGCAUAGCCGACCUGAGAGGGUGAUCGGCCACACUGGAACUGAGACACGGUCCAGACUCCUACGGGAGGCAGCAGUAGGGAAUCUUCCGCAAAGGGCGAAAGCCUGACGGAGCAACGCCGCGUGAGUGAUGAAGGUCUUCGGAUCGUAAAACUCUGUUAUUAGGGAAGAACAUAUGUGUAAGUAACUGUGCACAUCUUGACGGUACCUAAUCAGAAAGCCACGGCUAACUACGUG